CAGGUGUAUCGGUGAACAAACAGGCCUCUGUUGUGUGGUGAAAGAGGCCACGCUGCUUUUAAGAGCUCACUUUUAUCACCUCUGCACUGAAGGCUGAUGGAGUCUGUCAUUUUUGGGGUGGUAUGCAGAUUCACAGAUAGCAAAAGGCACAGUCCAGAGGGUGUUUUGUCAUAUUGUCGUCCUGUGUGAGAUCAGACUGCACACAUGAGCAUCCCAGUCUAUUACCACCAUCUGCUGGUGACACACAGGACAGUGGCAA
This is a long non-coding RNA of Sinocyclocheilus grahami, 259 nucleotides long. RefSeq lists it as uncharacterized. The record is from RefSeq and is a predicted model, not a curated record. The transcript has 3 exons. Lineage: Eukaryota; Metazoa; Chordata; Actinopteri; Cypriniformes; Cyprinidae.